CAGCCGCCACGGGAAUACGGAGGGAGCUAGCGUUGUUCGGAAUUACUGGGCGUAAAGCGCGCGUAGGCGGUUACUCAAGUCAGAGGUGAAGCCCGGGGCUCAACCCCGGAACUGCCUUUGAAACUAGGUGACUAGAAUCUUGGAGAGGUCAGUGGAAUUCCGAGUGUAGAGGUGCAAUUCGUAGAUAUUCGGAAGAACACCAGUGGCGAAGGCGACUGACUGGACAAGUAUUGACGCUGAGGUGCGAAAGCGUGGGGAGCAAACAGGAUUAGAUACCCCCGUAGUCCCUGUCUCUUAUACA
Molecule: ribosomal RNA, 301 nt
Filed under: uncultured bacterium
Lineage: Bacteria
Description: partial 16S ribosomal RNA
Rfam family: Bacterial small subunit ribosomal RNA
Source: RNAcentral